RNAcentral lists this unclassified non-coding RNA (336 nucleotides) under soil metagenome. Its description in RNAcentral is "partial contains 5.8S ribosomal RNA, internal transcribed spacer 2, and large subunit ribosomal RNA". The stretch from base 1 to 120 matches the Rfam family "5.8S ribosomal RNA", at positions 35 to 154 of the family's 154-position model. The record is from RNAcentral.
GAUGAAGAACGUAGCGAAAUGCGAUAAGUAGUGUGAAUUGCAGAAUUCAGUGAAUCAUCGAAUCUUUGAACGCACAUUGCGCCCCUUGGUAUUCCAUGGGGCAUGCCUGUUCGAGCGUCAUUUGUACCUUCAAGCUUUGCUUGGUGUUGGGUGUUUGUCUCGCCUUUGCGUGUAGACUCGCCUUAAAAUAAUGGGCAGCCGGCGUAUUGAUUUCGGAGCGCAGUACAUCUCGCGCUUUGCACUCAUAACGACAGCGUCCAAAAGUACAUUUUACACUCUUGACCUCGGAUCAGGUAGGGAUACCCGCUGAACUUAAGCAUAUCAAUAAGCGGAGGA